This is a long non-coding RNA of Solanum tuberosum (potato), 360 nucleotides long. RefSeq lists it as uncharacterized. The record is from RefSeq and is a predicted model, not a curated record. NCBI's taxonomy places the organism in Eukaryota, Viridiplantae, Streptophyta, Magnoliopsida, Solanales, Solanaceae. The transcript has 3 exons.
CGCUUCACUUUCCUCAUUCACGCUUUCCUCUUUCACUGAGCUAGCUGAACCUAAGUGAAGAGAGGUGAAGAGAGCUGAAGAACCAAAGAAACGAUUCUCUUCUCCGAUACAGAUUUGUGAGAAAAAGAUGUUGAAUAGUUGAUGUCGCCAAAGAUGAGCUGAAGAGUUGAAGUCAUCGAAGAGUUGAAGUCGCUGAAGAAAGAGGAAUAAGAAGGAAUUGAUUAUUUGGGGUUGUUGGCAAGAUGAACUGAAGCUAAUUAGUCUCUCCGUCAUGCUUUUCUCUCAAAUUUCUCACUGAAGAACACGAUUUCAGACAUAUUUUGUUGUAAUAGGGUUUAUUAGAUCAGUUUUCCCAAGCUU